Molecule: long non-coding RNA, 170 nt
Organism: Sphaeramia orbicularis (orbiculate cardinalfish)
Lineage: Eukaryota; Metazoa; Chordata; Actinopteri; Kurtiformes; Apogonidae
Exons: 3
Source: RefSeq, a predicted model, not a curated record
GCACUAGAAACGCGCGUACACCAGCUAUGAAGUUGGUGUGGAGCACUGCACAUUUCCACAGUCAUGUCACUCUUUGCACAUCUGAACAUGAGCGUGGUAAAGGGCGUACGCCACGUUUUUGUGUGUACACAACCUUUGUACAUGAGGCCCCUGAACUCUGCACUAAAAAA